This 1369-nucleotide ribosomal RNA is filed under the name uncultured bacterium. RNAcentral describes it as "bacterial SSU rRNA". It matches the Rfam family "Bacterial small subunit ribosomal RNA", at positions 28 to 1381 of the family's 1533-position model. The record is from RNAcentral.
GAUGAACGCUGGCGGCGUGCCUAAUACAUGCAAGUCGAGCGAACGGACGAGAAGCUUGCUUCUCUGAUGUUAGCGGCGGACGGGUGAGUAACACGUGGAUAACCUACCUAUAAGACUGGGAUAACUUCGGGAAACCGGAGCUAAUACCGGAUAAUAUUUUGAACCGCAUGGUUCAAAAGUGAAAGACGGUCUUGCUGUCACUUAUAGAUGGACCUGCGCUGCAUUAGCUAGUUGGUAAGGUAACGGCUUACCAAGGCAACGAUGCAUAGCCGACCUGAGAGGGUGAUCGGCCACACUGGAACUGAGACACGGUCCAGACUCCUACGGGAGGCAGCAGUAGGGAAUCUUCCGCAAUGGGCGAAAGCCUGACGGAGCAACGCCGCGUGAGUGAUGAAGGUCUUCGGAUCGUAAAACUCUGUUAUUAGGGAAGAACAUAUGUGUAAGUAACUGUGCACAUCUUGACGGUACCUAAUCAGAAAGCCACGGCUAACUACGUGCCAGCAGCCGCGGUAAUACGUAGGUGGCAAGCGUUAUCGGAAAUUAUUGGCGUAAAGCGCGCGUAGCGGUUUUUUAGUCUGAUGUGAAAGCCCACGGCUCAACCGUGGAGGGUCAUUGGAAACUGGAAAACUUGAGUGCAGAAGAGGAAAGUGGAAUUCCAUGUGUAGCGGUGAAAUGCGCAGAGAUAUGGAGGAACACCAGUGGCGAAGGCGACUUUCUGGUCUGUAACUGACGCUGAUGUGCGAAAGCGUGGGGAUCAAACAGGAUUAGAUACCCUGGUAGUCCACGCCGUAAACGAUGAGUGCUAAGUGUUAGGGGGUUUCCGCCCCUUAGUGCUGCAGCUAACGCAUUAAGCACUCCGCCUGGGGAGUACGACCGCAAGGUUGAAACUCAAAGGAAUUGACGGGGACCCGCACAAGCGGUGGAGCAUGUGGUUUAAUUCGAAGCAACGCGAAGAACCUUACCAAAUCUUGACAUCCUUUGACAACUCUAGAGAUAGAGCUUUCCCCUUCGGGGGACAAAGUGACAGGUGGUGCAUGGUUAUCGUCAGCUCGUGUCGUGAGAUGUUGGGUUAAGUCCCGCAACGAGCGCAACCCUUAAGCUUAGUUGCCAUCAUUAAGUUGGGCACUCUAAGUUGACUGCCGGUGACAAACCGGAGGAAGGUGGGGAUGACGUCAAAUCAUCAUGCCCCUUAUGAUUUGGGCUACACACGUGCUACAAUGGACAAUACAAAGGGCAGCGAAACCGCGAGGUCAAGCAAAUCCCAUAAAGUUGUUCUCAGUUCGGAUUGUAGUCUGCAACUCGACUACAUGAAGCUGGAAUCGCUAGUAAUCGUAGAUCAGCAUGCUACGGUGAAUACGUUCCCGGGUCU